Molecule: ribosomal RNA, 3028 nt
Filed under: Triticum aestivum (bread wheat)
Lineage: Eukaryota; Viridiplantae; Streptophyta; Magnoliopsida; Poales; Poaceae
Description: partial small subunit ribosomal RNA
Source: RNAcentral
GUGUAGGCGUUGUCCCCUCCCCUCUUGGCCUCCUCCUCCUCCUCCUCUCUCCCUUUUAUUUAUUUUUCCCUGUUCGGUGUUCUCUCUUCGCUUCCGGUCCCUUCCCUUCGCUCGCUCCCUCCCCCUCCUCCUUAUUAGGGCGCGCGCCAGCGGACGGACAACCCACGCCCUAGAGUGGCCUCCCAAGGCGGCGCCUCGGGGCAUGCCACUAGGCCCCGGCCAACCACCCCCGCUAGCCUCCGGCGGCACCUAGAGACGGAGACUCUAGACACAAGACCCUGUUUGGUACUCGUCGCGUUGGUGGCCAACAAUUGAGACAUUUAAUGUUCGUUGGCUUUGCUCCGCGUUCUUCUUACCACAAGGUCUUCUCCUGCAGCAGCCUCUACCUCAGCACGCCGCCUUCGGUGCAGCGCCUCUACGGCGCGCAGGGCUUUAGGCGCUCCCCCUUCUCUAGCCAAUCCUUCUUCCUCUCGGUCCCGGUCCGCUACACGCGCAAACUGGAAGAGCGCUGCCACCGGCCGUUCGACGAGCUACUCCCGCUCCCGAGCGACCCCUUGUACUCGCGGCCGAGGGGCCAGGAGCGACGAAGACGGUUCCUACAGACGCACUUCGUUCUCGUCACGCUGCUCCUCCCCUUCGUGGAGUUCUUAAUACACUACCUGGUCCUAUCGACGUUACUCUCGCGCAACUAGAGGGUGUAACGCAGAGUCUCCGACCGCCUAGUGGUAAGAGCCUUCCCUCUCCUAGACUUACUCCAAGGUUUCCGUUUCAGACUCCGACACCUGUUCCUUGGGAGGUACUAUUCAACAUGGUUCCGACUGAACCCAUCAUUAAAACCCCGCUAGCGCCUGUCCACCAGCAGACUUAGGCACCUCAGUCCCCGGAAGUGGCCCCUACGUCGCCGUUUACAGUACCGUAACCGGCGUCGUCGGAAGUUGUUCUUGCGGGGACUGUACAUGUUAGAAGAGCUGGGGUACCUACAGCUACACUUCGGCGGAGGAAACCAGUCGAGACUGUCGUGGCCGCUCUACGGUAAUAUACCACCGUUUUAAGUGUUCAGGCAGAGGAAAGGCUCCCCAGGCUUUCCUCCUCGUCUCAUAAGACAUCUAUCUCUCUUACUACUACUACUACUAUUUAGAAGGCCCACGUGGGUAAGCUCGUGGCGGUGAUUGUCCCCGAAGUCCGGGUUAACAUGUCGACUGGUUUCAUCCCACUUCUUCAAGGAGCGGACAUUCAUGUCCUUUCAACGAGGACGGUCUUACGUGUUUCCUCUAGAAAGGAUAUCACUACGACUGGCCUUCGGAAGAAAGGCUUUGUUCUUUUACAUAAUAUGCGCCGUUUCCUGGGUUUCCUCAUGUAAAUUCGCUUCCUUCUACAACCUAGCAGUAAGUUGAGAUCAUAGACUUCUUAAACGUUUUAGUUUACGUUUCUCUUGGUGUUUCCAAUUACGUUCUCUUGGUGUACGACGAAGGAACCUUCGUUUGUUCCCGUCGUUGAGUUACGGUAAGGUACCUAGAACAUUUAGUUUGCUAACGGUACACUUUGAAUUCUAGUUUAGAAAGUUCCACGGACUUGAAGAUUAACUCUAGGGUCUUUGACGAAGACAACCAAGUGACUUCUUUUGACAAGACCUCCGUCAUUUACGGUACGAACCUCCACCAGACGCACACCCACAAGAAGUGGUACCUUUCUUUUAGUCCCUACUAUCGUUUUGGAAUUACGUUCGACCCUAACCAGUACUACUAUACGACCUGUUGUAUCCGAAAAGUGAACUUGGGUUGACAUGUUCCGUAAGUAGAGUUGAACGUCGAGGACUUCUAUAGCUUAAGGAUCUUUGACAACUUUGGUGACUUGGGGAUCGUUCCUAACGUGGACGACUGAGCAGAAGCUUCGUGCCGCUUGAGCUACGGAGUGUCCUCGAACGUAACUGUGGGAACUGUCGAUUAAUGGUCCCCUUACUAGUGCUAAGUCACGUGAGAGGACCCCCGUAGAGGAGUGGACUCUUUCGAAGCCGUUUGAGCGCUCGUUAACAAGGUCAAUGUGGACAUCUAAGGUCGCGUCCCCGCUAUCAAGGUCGUUUGUUCCGCUUCUCUAGUCGCCUUGUCCCCGUCGCAGCUUAGUCUGCAGGGAAGAGACAACGACUUCACCUUCGUGAACACGAACGUCAGCUUUUCGAACCUUGACCUUCUACCGCUCUACAAUUUGAAGCACGAAAACUAUUACGGUUCGUAGCCUGGAUACAACUAGAGUUCCUGUUUACCUUCUGCGACCACGUGUGCCGCUCGUAGAGCGGGGUCGUCGCCGCGCCACUCGGCCACGGCGUCCUAGACGAGCUGGCCCAGGAACGCCGGGUCAGGAUAACCAGGGUCGUCGUCCGGUUCGAGGUCGGAUUCUGCGGGGGUGACCGACUCCGAGCGGACGAGUGGAUUAUUGAGGGUAGAGUCGGUUACCAGAGAAUUCUUUGGUAAGGUCGAAAACAUAUUUCAGUCAUUCAGUCGGUCAGUCGGGUAAGUUUCCUCCAAUUCCUUCUAUCAUCUUUUUAUAUAUGAUGUAUUUUUUUCCAUGUUCUUCAUAACUGGCUGGCUUUUAACAACAUUAUAGAUGAGUGGUUGAUAAGAAAAUUCGGUCCCAAGAGAGAGGAACACUUAAAUUGGUUUCCUUUCCCAUAAAGAAACCGUUUAACAUGUACUACUACUACCUUCUUCUUCUACUAAGUAAGGUACUUGACUCUAGACGUCACUGGUGAUGAUUGAGUGUUAAGAGACGUUAACACGAUUUUUUCUUCUCGAAGUCUAAGAAAACAAGUCAAGUUAAGUAAGAAACAAUUCUCCUACUCUUUCCACCUGCCUAUUCCUCCCUCCUAGACACGAGGGGAAAAAGGAUAAAAAGAAGAAGACAAUGAUGAAUCAACAUGAUAAAAGGGAAGUGGUUAGAACAUCGAUAAAACUAGGGGAGUUGUAACAUGAACUAGUUGAUUGUUAUAAUUUCCUUAAAAAAAUACGUAUGUGUAACGGGGGGAAUUUAAUAC